Molecule: ribosomal RNA, 667 nt
Filed under: uncultured archaeon
Lineage: Archaea
Description: bacterial SSU rRNA
Rfam family: Archaeal small subunit ribosomal RNA
Source: RNAcentral
UUCCGGUUGAUCCCGCCGGACCCCACUGCUAUCGGGAUAGGACUAAGACAUGCUAGUCGAGCGCCUUCAAGCCAUGACGGAGGCGCGGCACAGAGCUCAGUAACACGUGGCUAACCUGCCCUCGGGACGAGAACACCCCCGGGAAACUGGGGCUAAUUCUUGAUAGGCGAAGACCUCUGGAAUGAGUCUUCACCCAAAGGACGCUUAGAUCAUGCUUUUAAGCUUCGCCCAAGGAUGGGGCCGCGACCGAUCAGGUUGUUGGUGAGGUAAUGGCUCACCAAGCCUUUAACCGGUGCGGGCCGUGGGAGCGGGAGCCCGGAGAUGGGCACUGAGACAAGGGCCCAGGCCCUACGGGCGCAGCAGUCGCGAAAACUUUGCAAUAAGCGAAAGCUUGACAGGGCUAUCCCGAGUGCCAUCCGCUGAGGAAGGCUUUCACCCAGUCUAGUAAGCUGGGGGAAUAAGGAGAGGGCAAGUCUGGUGUCAGCCGCCGCGGUAAUACCAGCUCUCCGAGUGGUGUGGAUGUUUAUUGGGCCUAAAGCAUCCGUAGCUGGCUGAGUUAGUCCCCUGUUAAAUCCGCCGAAUCAAUCGUUGGAUUGCGGGGGAUACUGUUCGGCUAGGGGACGGGAGAGGCAGACGGUAUUCUCGGGGUAGGGGUGAAAUCCUAUAA